UGGUUGCUUGCUUGCAUUUUUGCUAUGUGGGUGGCUACUAGUCGGGUGGUUUCGGAAAAUGUUUACCGUAAAGGUGCAUGAGUGGUGUUUGGUUUGUUACGGGUGGUUGGAUGUCUUCUAGCGAAGCAACUUCCAUGCGUGCUUACCUCUUCAUUUACGUAGCAAGGCUUAAUUUAGUGUUGCUCGUAUUGUGGGUUUACUGUGUUGCGUACCUAAUCGAAGGCAUUGUAUGGACCGAAUGAAUAUGUAUCCGUCAUGCAUCGCACAAGUGGUGCAUGAUGGACCGGUAAGUGGUCUUAGUAAUCCAUCUUGUCGUUGUGUACACAUCGGCGAUGUGGCUUGCUGAGUUUCGCUUGGUGUCUUGGAUAUGGAACCUAAUGUGGGCAUGGGUCUUAAAUGAUCUUUUUAUGUCCUUGAUUAGCGUUCUCGCUUCUCUAAAACGAUCACUCGUCGCGUGUUGGCUAGUCCAUGCGUGGCGGGUUGCGUCGAAGAGGAAUGCUACC
Molecule: unclassified non-coding RNA, 503 nt
Filed under: Gazania rigens var. rigens
Lineage: Eukaryota; Viridiplantae; Streptophyta; Magnoliopsida; Asterales; Asteraceae
Description: partial external transcribed spacer
Source: RNAcentral